RNAcentral lists this long non-coding RNA (1023 nucleotides) under Struthio camelus australis. RNAcentral describes it as "lncRNA (ENSSCUG00000009538.1)". Lineage: Eukaryota; Metazoa; Chordata; Aves; Struthioniformes; Struthionidae. The record is from RNAcentral.
GGGAAAACAGGGAGGAGGGGAGAAGGGGCCGGUCGCCGGCGAGCAGGGAAGCCCGCUUGCGUGCCAGAGCGCCGGCCUGUCCCACUGCCUUACUAAGUCCUUACCUACUUCGGCUGGGUUACCUCCCUCUGCCCUCCGCCGAGCGCCACAGGGGCCAGGCGGGGCAGCUGGAGAGCGGGCUGGCGUCACGGGGCCCACGCACCUGUGCGCUGGCAAAGGGGGCCCUGGGCUGCAUGUGCCAGAGGCCUAAAUGCCAGCAGCUGGGGACACCUAGGCGCGUUUAUUCUUCCCCAGUGAAUUUAAUCCUGUGUGCACGUGCUUUUGUGCGUAAUUCGCCAGCAAACUUCAAGCUGGGCUUAGCCAGUGAGGAGGUGGAGACCUGCAUCUGGAGAGACCCGAAGCCUGAGCCAGCGAAACAUCCAUGCAAAAUGUAAUAUCUUUGGAUAUUUGUCCAGCAUGUCUGAUGUCCUGCAGCCAAGGUGGAACUGUAACAUAAUUGCAAGGAGGCAGCAGGGCAUAUGGAAAUCCUGGACAUGCACUACACCAUGAGCUGUAUGGUAUGUGUACCAUCAUUGCAGCACACGUGUCAAACUCCACACCUGGGAGAGAUCAAACUUACUGCAUCUGCACUACGCUGAUAACAUGUACCUCGGACACAUCAGGCUCGCUGCAUAUGCUGUGCACAUUGAAUGCACCCAUAUCAGUCUGGGAAACCACCUGGCAAACAUAUGAGGAACAAUACAAGUGCUGAUACAAAGCAUAAGCCUGAACGUGUUCACUUCUUCUGUUUCCUCAGCUUGAGUUCAUUUUUAGGUCAGUUUUGAAAAAUAAUACAACUACUUGUAGAAUGCAGUAGAUUCUUCUGCGACUGUCUUUAGGCCUGUGGCUGGAUGCUGGAAGGUGAAAUGCUACAACUGUUUAGCCAACGCAGCAGCAGCAGCUUCUGUGGCCCUGCUGUUGCGUUAGCACAAAGUAGAGUUGCAACACAGGGCUUAGCAACUUAAGUUAAGCGUAAAAGUAUCU